RNAcentral lists this long non-coding RNA (691 nucleotides) under Mus musculus (house mouse). RNAcentral describes it as "long non-coding RNA chr17:47361263-47361954". Lineage: Eukaryota; Metazoa; Chordata; Mammalia; Rodentia; Muridae. The record is from RNAcentral.
UAAUGGAUUUAGAUUUCCUUUGAGAAAGCCUGUAUAUAAAAAGUUAACAGAUAUAUUUUAUGGAAAAAAAAACCCAUCUUAUUUUCAAAUAUAUUUAACUGCUGUUAUAUUUUAUUAGAGGAAGGUUGUAAAUAUUUUCUAGGAGUUCUAUUGUAAAGAAAAGUAUUUUUGAAAAAAAUUAAUGUAAUAAAAAGGAAAACGUUUUUACAUAGUGGCUGUGCCUGCUUCCUGCUGUGCUUUGGUUCGGCCGUGUUCUCGGCCAGUGACUGCAUGCCUUCAGAUCAGGAUGUGACUCAGAUUUGCACUAUUCUAAGUUAGCAUCGUCGUUUCUAAUGUGCUUAACUGUACGUUUCCGGAAUGCGGCUCCCUCCCUCUGCACCGGCAAGUGCUGUGUGGAGUCUUCUCAUGUAUUUUUAAUGCGUGUAUUUUUAAUAAGGAUUUUAUGUAACAUUUUGGCAAAAAAAAAAAAAGAAAAAAGAAAAGAGAAGAGGACAGUAUUUUCUAGUGAAUUUUAUAAUAACAUUUUGCUAAAAAAUGUUUCUUCCUAGGUCAGUUUUUUGUUAAGGUGAAUCAAACGUCUUAUUUUCCAGGGGUUUUAAAAAAGAAAAAGAAAAAAAAAAGUUUGAAGCUGGAAAGCAACAUUCUAUUUAAACACCACAUGUAACAAAUGAAUAAAGAUGUUUUGUAGACC